Molecule: non-coding RNA, 1016 nt
Organism: Pelobates cultripes (western spadefoot toad)
Lineage: Eukaryota; Metazoa; Chordata; Amphibia; Anura; Pelobatidae
Source: the annotation of a GenBank genome assembly
CUGGGAUUGGACUAGAUAAUUGCAUUCUAUAACUAUAAAACAGACACAGAAAUUGGAGUCUGAUUCAUAUUCUUCAGAGUGAUUAUUGAUACUCCCAUUACGUUAAUAGACACCCUAAUUUAAUUUGUAAACAGAGGUACACUGUUUUCAUUUUGGCAAAUAAGUAAAGCCUAAUGAACUACUGAAUAAGUAAAGUGAAAAUCUCUGUUGCCAAAUUGUAUCUAUUUCCCUUCAUUCUAUCACAGCUGCAUUCACUCUUAGGGCUGUAAAAUGUUCCUUAUAAAUAACAAUCUAUGGAUCCCCUUCUGGGAUCUCCUUUAAAAUCUAAUCAUUCUAAGUUAAUUAGGGGUAAGCCCUAGGGUGGAAUUGGUACCACCAACACUGACCAACCCUUACUAGUAAUAUCGUUUGGAUAAUAAGGGUUUCCUAUUAAUUUUUCAAUAUAUAAAGUUGUUUUGGCACUGCUGCGCAGGUGCACUUAAUGUGUGGUGGCCAUUUUCAUUACGCCAUAUUUUUGGGGGUAGAGUUUCGGUGCCAUUUCUGAGCCUUGCCAGACUUUGAAUAUGUGUAAAAUGGCUGGUGGGGAAGGCAACCUCUUCCCUCUUCAUGGUUUCCCCUUCAAACGCCUCUUGCUCCAUCCUCCUUAAGAUAGACAAUGUGUUGGCAGUCCGUUACAUAAAUCACCUGGAGUAAUGACACUAGCAGUGUACAUAGUAUAUUGAUCGUGGGAGAACACAUUCCUGGUCUGAUCAAUUUGACAGCAGAUUGGAACUCGAGUUACCGCAAGGAUUCCAGGGAUUGUCAUUUACAUUGAUCUCUGUUGUAGAAACUUGGCCAUCUUUGGGAUGCUUUGGAUAUUGAUCACUUUGCUUCCCGCUGAAAAUUCCAUCUUGAGGGUCCUUCUUUAUCUCUUUCUAUGGGGUGGGAUGCUGGUGCUGAAAACUCCCCUCUGGUGGUCUCAACCAUGUUACACUCACCUUCUAGAGCUGUUGAUAGAUUUUCCUUGGCUAUUGCCG